GGCGAACCUCCUCUUCAAAGAUUGGAACACAAUGAGGACCAAAAUGCCUCAAUUCAAACAUUAACAGAAGAAGAGCAACCCCAUCAGCAUCAGGAUGAAGAGAAAGGCGAACUUCCUCUUCAAAGAUUGGAACCAAUUGAGGACCAAAAUGACAUUUUGAAUCAUGAGAGGAGGAAAAGGAAGAGGAAGAGAAAAAGGAAGAGGAGCAAAAUUGGACAUCAAAAUUCAAU
RNAcentral lists this unclassified non-coding RNA (230 nucleotides) under Hevea brasiliensis (rubber tree). The record is from RNAcentral. Lineage: Eukaryota; Viridiplantae; Streptophyta; Magnoliopsida; Malpighiales; Euphorbiaceae.